Molecule: ribosomal RNA, 829 nt
Filed under: uncultured bacterium
Lineage: Bacteria
Description: bacterial SSU rRNA
Rfam family: Bacterial small subunit ribosomal RNA
Source: RNAcentral
CGGCGCACGGGUGAGUAACACGUGAGUGACCUGCCUUUUAGACUGGAACAACUUACCGAAAGGUGAGCUAAUGCCGGAUGAGUUAUAUAAGUGCAUGUUUAUAUAGGAAAAGUUGGGGAGACCUGACGCUGAAAGAUGGACUCGCGUCCCAUUAGCUAGUUGGUAGGGUAAUGGCCUACCAAGGCGACGAUGGGUAGCCGGCCUGAGAGGGUGGCCGGCCACACUGGGACUGAGACACGGCCCAGACUCCUACGGGAGGCAGCAGUGGGGAAUUUUGCGCAAUGCUCGUAAGAGUGACGCAGCGACGCCGCGUGAAUGACGAAGGCCUUCGGGUCGUAAAGUUCUUUCGACAGGGAAGAAAAUGCCUAUAAGUAACUGUGUAUGUAUUGACGGUACCUGUAUAAGCAGCCCCGGCUAACUCCGUGCCAGCAGCCGCGGUAAUACGGAGGGGGCGAGCGUUGUUCGGAGUGACUGGGCGUAAAGAGCACGUAGGCGGUGUUGUAAGUCAUUAGUCAAAGACUAGAGCUCAACUUUAGUAAGGCUAGUGAUACUAUAAUACUAGAGUAUCAGAGAGGAUUGCAGAAUUCCUGGUGUAGCGGUGAAAUGCGUAGAUAUCAGGAGGAAUACCGUUAGCGAAGGCGGCAAUCUGGCUGGAAACUGACGCUGAGGUGCGAAAGCGUGGGUAGCAAACAGGAUUAGAUACCCUGGUAGUCCACGCUGUAAACGAUGGAUGCUAGGUGUUGGGCUUUUAAGUUCAGUGCCGCAGCAAACGCGAUAAGCAUCCCGCCUGGGGAGUACGUUUUGCAGAAUGAAACUCAAAGGAAUUGAC